UGAGUACGAGAUGCUACGGCAUCGAAGCAGUCUAUGUCCUACUUCCAAGAAAAGCUCGCACUGUCAAAAACAAAUUAAUGCCUGUACCAUAACCGACACAGGUGGGUAGGUAGAGUAUACUAAGGGGCGCGAGAUAACUCUCUCUAAGGAACUCGGCAAAAUAACUCCGUAACUUCGGGAGAAGGAGUGCCUUUUUAAGGCUGCAAUAACCAGAUCCAAGCAACUGUUUAUCAAAAACACAGGUCUCCGCUAAGUCGUAAGACGAUGUAUGGGGGCUGACGCCUGCCCAGUGCCAGAAGGUUAAAGAAGUUGGUUAGCCCUGCGAAGCUGAUGACUGAAGCCCUGGUGAACGGCGGCCGUAACAAUAACGGUCCUAAGGUAGCGAAAUUCCUUGUCGGGUAAGUUCCGACCCGCACGAAAGGCGUAAUGAUUUGGAUACUGUCUCGGAGAGGGACUCGGUGAAAUAGACUUGUCUGUGAAGAUGCGGACUACCUGCACCAGGACAGAAAGACCCUAUGAAGCUUUACUGUAACUUGAGAUUGAAAUUGGACUUUAUUUGCGCAGUAUAGGUGGGAGGCGUUGAAAAUAUUCUUGCGGGAAUAUCGGAGCCAUCAGUGAGAUACCACUCUUGUAAUGUUAGAUUUCUAACUUUGUAUCAUUAUCUGGUCAAAGAACAGUCUCAGGCGGGCAGUUUGACUGGGGCGGUCGCCUCCCAAAUGGUAACGGAGGCGCACAAAGGUUUCCUCUGAACGGGUAGAAAUCGUAUCUAGAGUGUAAAGGCAUAAGGAAGCUUGACUGUGAGACUUACAAGUCGAGCAGGGACGAAAGUCGGUCUUAGUGAUCUGACGGUGCUGAGUGGAAAGGCCGUCACUCAACGGAUAAAAGUUACUCUAGGAUAACAGGCUGAUCUCCCCCAAGAGUUCACAUCGACGGGGAGGUUUGGCACCUCGAUGUCGGCUCAUCGCAUCCUGGGGCGGUAGUACGUCCCAAGGGUUGGGCUGUUCGCCCAUGAAAGCGGUACGCGAGCUGGGUUCAGAACGUCGUGAGACAGUUCGGUCCAUAUCCGGUGUAGGCGUUAGAAUAUUGAGAGGAGCCUUCUUUAGUACGAGAGGACCGAGAAGGACAUACCUCUGGUGUACCAGUUAUCGUGCCAACGGUAAACGCUGGGUAGCUAUGUAUGGAGUGGAUAACCGCUGAAAGCAUCUAAGUGGGAAGCCCACCUCAAGAUAAGUAUUCUC
RNAcentral lists this ribosomal RNA (1238 nucleotides) under metagenome. RNAcentral describes it as "bacterial LSU rRNA". It matches the Rfam family "Bacterial large subunit ribosomal RNA", at positions 1564 to 2815 of the family's 2925-position model. The record is from RNAcentral.